Molecule: long non-coding RNA, 8611 nt
Organism: Colossoma macropomum (tambaqui)
Lineage: Eukaryota; Metazoa; Chordata; Actinopteri; Characiformes; Serrasalmidae
Exons: 3
Source: RefSeq, a predicted model, not a curated record
GAAAGUUAAUUAGCUAGCUACCGAGACAUUAGCAUGCUAUUAGCGAUUUUUUUUAUGCUUGUUACGAAGAAAACAACCAUAAUACAUUAAAACGACAUUAAGAUAAUGCAUUAAGAUAAUGCAAUUUUUAACGGAGAAAAUACUUACAUUUGUGGAUUUCUUUGGUUGCUUGUGCAGCCAUCCUGCCGGUUUUUCUGUUUUUUUCUGUUUGGAGUGAGCCUCUGAAAAACCUCCGUUUGGAGGGAAUGCGCAAAACUAAGGGCUAAGUGGCAGGGCUGAAAUGGGAUCGGGCCUAAGUGAAGUGGAGCUCAAGGUGUGUUUUAAGAGCUAUCAGCAUAAAUGCAUGCGUCUCUCUCAUGUUUUUUAAUGUUGUUGUUGUUUUGUUUUUUUUAAAAACAUUCAAAAACUCACCUUUUCUUUUUGUUGCCAUGUAAUAUCAUAACCUUGGUAAUUGGAAGAAAGUAGUCAGGUCUGGCUGUUGGGGCCACUCCCUCAGAUAAUGAGGACAGUGAACUUGACACUAGUGAAAUUGAGCAAAUAACAUGGCCUGAACUUUUGGCAAGAAAAUAUCUAUCUGCACAUUGUUUGAAAGAUGCACGCACACAUUAAAGCAAGAAAGCACACAAUGUAGGAACUGUGUAAUACAAGCCCAACUCCAAAAAAAGAAAUUUAUAAAAUCUACCUUGACCUAGAUUAGCAUAAAAACGGUACAAAGACAAGAUUUAUAGGGAUGCAUUGACACUAUUUCUGACUGAGUAUGAGUACAUGUUUUUGAGUCCGAUAUCAUAAUGAAUUACCUACAUAGAAUUAAGUAGUUUUUAGUGUAAAUGAGUAUUUUAACAAUUAAAUAAUUCAAAUCUAGCUGAUUUUAAAUUAUGUGCAUAUUAAUGUUUGUAGUUUUUUAAUUUAUUCAUUCCAUUCUGUCCAUUUAUUAUUUUUUCACCUUUUUGCAAGCCUAUGUGACAUUCAGCAUAAAAUCACCUAUUGAAUUUGUGGCUAAAAUGACCAGCAACUUCGGAUCUGACUGACCACUGUGUCAGAAACAGUUCUCUGAGAGCAGACCCUCAUUCACUUUUAGCUUGAGGGCGUUUUCACACCUGAAAGUCUGGGCCAAGGUAAGACCCAGGGUUUAUAUUUUUAUUACAGAGAAGUGUUUCUGUAUACGUUUGAUCUGGUUAGUUUCGGUUUCUCGUUGCAAUUUUGCGAGCGCACUAAGAACUUUGCGUGACAAAGCUAUGUCCUGCCAUCAUCUAUGUAGGCUGCGUCUCCCUAUACUUAACAUUGAUUGGUUUAUAGAGGAGCGCACGUCUGAUGAUGGCAUGUAAUCAAUCCGGUGGGUAGCCUUUUCCAUUUGAAUGGAGAAACAUGAAUACCUUUCCUCUCUCAUCUCUCUCAUCCUCUCAGAAAAUAAGGUAGAAGUUUCGGCAUUUUCAUGCAUUUUUUCAAGCUGACUUUUGGCUUAUUUGUCGGACCGAGCUACAACUACAAUCAAAUAUUUGGUCUCCUCCUCUCCCCAUGUACUACCACAGCUCAUUUUACUUCUUUUUCGGUUCUUUUUCUUAUUCUGUUGUUUAUUGGGUUCCCGGACCAAGACCACCCCUGAUCGAACUUGAACAGGUGAUCAUGCUUGGGUAUAAAAGGAGCAUCCAGACAUGACUUAGUGCUUUAUAAGCAAGGAAAAUAACCAUCCUCAGCAAGGAUUUUGUUUAUUUCACCAUCGGCAGUGCAUAAUGUCAUCAAAAGACUCCAGAGGAAUCUUGGGCAAAGGAAAAAUAACAAAUGAAUGCCCAAGACCUUCGAUCCUUCAGGUAGCACUACAUAAAUAAACGGCAAGCGGACUGUCGCCUGUAGAUUUUGCGCCAUGUUCUGUUGGCACUAGUUGGCUCCAGUAAGAGUGGUUUUGGUCAGUUCAGCAAUUUGAAUCAGUGUCUGCAGCCGGUGGUAAGACAGUUCACUGAUUGACUUGUAAGCCUAGCAAAUCAGUGCACGAGUAGAGAAGCAAAAAGUGCAAGCAAACGAUAAUCUUGAGAGGUCACACAAAACAUAUUCAUUUUUCAAUGUCUGUGCAAGUAGCUUUUCAAGUGCAAGUUUCACCACCCAGGAUAGGCAUUUUAGCCAUUUUUGCUUUGUUAAAACAAACAGUAUGUGAAUAUCCUAUUUCCAGUUACAGUAUUGUUUAAAUUAGAAAUAACCCUGGACACACAAGCUCUUAAUUUUCACAGAGUGAACACAGUAACAUACAGCACAGUAGGGAUGAACCGAUCAGUGUUUUUGGGGCCUGUGUCAAUCGCUGAUCGCCUUUCAGCACUAUUGGCCAAUAGCGUUUUGUGAUCGAAGGCAGGGCUGCAGAAAGAUUGUUUAUACUUGAACUCAACAGUAAAACAAAUACACUCCUCCCUUCCGUGGUCCUUCAGAAACUCUGCCCCUGAAUUCAUGGAUGGAUUCUUUUUUUUUUUCCUUCAGUCUUUGUGGCCAUAAAACAAACAUUGUAUGGACAAAUGCCAUGACGUAACGUUAGAGCGAACAAUGACUUUUGUAGUCCUGCAGCAUAAGCUAAACUGAGAUUAGCACUCAGAUGCUAACGUGCUAACAGACAUUAAUCCUCAAAGCUUUCAUAACAAACAAUGUUAAUUAUAGCUCUGAACACUCAAACAGCAAAUUUACAGCAAAACUGGGCCAAAUAUGUAAUAAUAUACUUCAGGAAAAAUUAGUGAAAUAGAUGUGAUGAGGCUGAAGUUGGCUUCCUGUUCUCCAGCUUGUUGUUCAGAUUUAUCCAUUCCGCCUUAAAUGGUGCAUCAGUUACAUUCUGGCACCUGAGGCGAAAUAUGGCUCAUAUGUUGUACAUCACCGAUCAGCUCUCAGAAUCGGCUAAGGUAGAGAAAUAUUUGGGCUGAAGAAAGGCUGAUACCGAUACAUAGCUUGAUUGAUCCAUCCAUCUCUAAAGCACAGGAUGCUGUUGGAUGUGGCUGGUUUUUGUUAACCUGACUUUUUAGUUUUCUGUUUUCUGUUUCAUGUAUAUCCAUUUAUUAGACUCCUUGAGUCCUCCUCUGAGUUUUCCUGAGUUAUGUUAGCGUCCAGCUAACAGUGAUGUCCUUUUGCUUCCCUGCCCUAAGUUUAGCUUGAACCUAAAUAUUUGUAAGCCAUUCAAACAACAUUUACUUUGUACGUUGCAGUUUUACAGUGAAUCUCCAGUAAACGUUUCAGGCCUAACUUUGAAUAUUACUUGUAUCUGGUCAGCCUAGACCUUUGCAUGUUUUCUAGUUUUUCAUUUUUUAAUUCAUUUAUUUAAAAUACAGAUUACUGCCACAGUUUCACAUCACAUCAUGUAUGUACAUGUUCCAUGUAGGCUAUAAUUUUUCCAGUGUUUGAAUGCCAAUUUUCACAGAAAUCAUAAAGCGAUAGGUGGUCAGUAAUCGCUCUUAGUUGGCCUAGUUUAUUUACCGUCGGCUCGGUCUGUGCUCUUACAACACAGGGCAAGGUUGAAAUAGAAAAGGAGGGGAUGGAUUUGGUAGAAUUCUCUGCCAAAACUGGGAGAAUUUGGAGGAUUUGGUAGUGGUGACAUGCUGGUUCCUCUACAGGCAAGACUGUGAUGGGAAUGAAUUGAGAAGAAAUGAGCACAUGAGGCUGUACGCCUUCAAAUCCCAGAUGGAGCAAGGCCUGUGCAAGAGCAGCAGGGGACGCCCUGCUUCAGUCCCAAUCCCAGACAUUCGGAUGGACUGCACAUCACACUGGCCGGCCAUGACUGGCAAGAAAGGAAGAUGCAGAGUUCCUGGGUGCAAAGGCAUUCCAAGGGUUUUGUGCAUGAAAUGUAACGCACACCUUUGUUUCACCAGGCAAAGCAACUGUUUUCUGAAAUUUCACACAGAAUACUGCUGAAUGCUGAGCUGGACUUUGUACAGCAAGUCAUACCUAAUGACGCUUAUUUUAACUUAUUUCCUUAUUCUGUUUUUGCUGUUAGUUAUAGGGUCCUGCAUGAAUUCAGUAUUGACUGUUAAGUGAAGAACAGUGUUGAUCAUUUCGACUGACAGAUUUUUGCACUUUUGUUUCCUCUCUUGAUUUUAUAUUGGGUGGGAUUACAUUGGAAGAAAUUGACAUUUUUCCCAAACCACCCCAUACAAACCAUAGUGUAUUUCGUUUAAUCUAAAUGACCACCACUAUGCUAGCUAGCUAGCAUUUUCUACAUUUUGUAGACUGUACCAUUUGCAAUUUUAUUAAAUAACUGCAUCCCUUCAUUUGUCACCUUUUUGUGGCGAUACAGAGUCGAAGGCCGUGGACAAAUCCAAUGCUGCUUUAAUGAUUUGUCACCUAUGGUGGCCGCCUAUUCACAGGACUAUAAUUUAGCAAAUGCUAAUGGUGUUUUACACCUCUUUUAAAGUGUCCUUCAACUAUUUGGUUGAACUUGAGACAAUUACAUUGUGUUUUCCACACAUUUUGUGAUGUUUUGUGAUUUUUGUAAUUUAUUUUGCAUGUACUGAUGAAAUAAAUUAUUAAGAAAUGUAUACGUUUUCUCUGUGAUUUCAGAACGCCUGUGGCACAGUGUUGCCCCGAGGCAACAAACUGUUUAACAUUGUAUCCUAAAUGAGGGAAAAAGGGAUUAUUUUCAACCCCAAAAUAUGUGUACUGGAGUGUUUCUUUUCCUAAACAAUACAUUUAACGUUCACAAAGUUUAAUACAUUCUGUCUCUUCAGUUUAGUCUGAAGCAUGCCUAAAUGUCAAUGUAAACUUGUUGCUUAAUUGCCUGUAUAGCCCUGAACCAUUAAUUCCUCAGUGUAUAAUCAAAGUUAGAAGUAGUACUAUUAGUAAACAUUGUUAUUCUAAUAAAUUCUUAUAAUCAGAAUGGAAUUUUUCCUGCUCAGGAAAGUUUAUUGAUUAACUGUUAUGUACACUUUGUAAUUUCCAAGCAACGUACUUGAAAUGUAAUUGAAAUUUAAUGUAAACGUAAAAAUGAACCUGAAUGGACUCGGGAGUGUCGCAGGAUACAAAGUACCAUUCUUAUUGGCUAGUAAUUAGAGAGGAGAGCAGCCUGUCAAUUGUGUCAUCAGCAAAACAUGAAGAGGAAGCUGUGAGCUCCAUCUCCCACAUGUAAGAUAUAAUUCUCAUUUCAUUUAUUCAUUACUUUUUGUGAAAGUGAAUGAAACUUGUUGUGGCUGUAUAUACAUAUUUCCUUAACGACUUUGUUAUAAAUUGUCCAUUGACGGUCUUUGUGGUGCCAUUUGUGGACUAUUUCACACAUAAUCUAUACAGAUAUUCUCUUAUUAUUUGAUUAUAUCACUGUAUGUGAUUAAUUAUUAUUUAUUUUAUAGAUUUCAGUUUUCACACCAAAUUUGGGGCUGCUCGCAUCAGCUCAAAAUUUCAGGGCUGGGUCAAGGAGCAUCUAAUAGACUACAGCUUAACCCACAGUCUUCAAAGCUCCAAAUUCUAGGAUGCAGAUUCAUGUAUUGACAGUCCAGAAAUGCAGUCUAAAUAAAGAAGACUGAAAAAGGACUGAGAACGACUGCUAUGCUAAAUGACCCCGCAGAUUACUGAUGAUGAAGGCCAAGAUUAUGAAUUUGAGAUGGCAUGGUGAUAAAUAAAUCCCUGUUAAGAGGAGAAAGACAUUAAGCAAUGUUGCUGAGUAAAUUACGUCAGCCCACACUUUAAAUCUCAUGCUUAUGUUUUUUGUACACUUCACAAAUGCAAAGAGAAACUCGAAUUAGCAUGAUGUUCAUUCUAAACAUCUUCGGACCAUCAUUAUUUUCUGAAACUAAGCAAUCAAACUGUGUGUCCUUUGUUUACUUUUCAUGUUUGCAUGCUGGAAAAAUAUGAACGCUUGUUAGUCAAAUGCAUUUCAGGUGGUGUGUAAAAUGCAAAUCAGCUCAUAACACUAUUUUCCUGCUUGCUGAUGGUGUUCUUUAAUUCCGUUGUUCCGUUGCCACCUCGAAAAAUGCAGUUUUUAAUGGUGAACAAUUUUGAAUUUUCAACUUUGGCAGUCCACAUUUUGCUUUAAUUUGUAAUGUGUCAUGGACACUACAAAACUUUAAAAAUCUCAGAAUCGCUGCACUUCUGACACGCAUUUUAACACUUGCGACCCUGCUGUUUGUCGAUGUUACGGUGUGCAUGAACAAUACAUGAGCAACCACAGACUGAAUACAGACCAAGAGAGAUCUGUGAUAAAUCUCUUUUGACCCCAAAAUCUCUGUCUCUCAGAAAUAAGCAUGAGAAUUUUCCACGAUUGUGCCAAACUGAAGUUGGAGAAACUUAAUGUGUGUUUGCACUAAUUUGUGCAGAAGAUAGGAUCAUUUUCAAGCAAGGAUUCGAAGGACUGUUUUCAAGGUCCACAAAGAGGCGUUCACCAGCACAGAGGAGAAAGUAGUCAUGAAUGUUCAAGUCUAACUGUUGCAGACUGCCUCACUCCCUGACCAUUUUCUUGCACUCUCAGUGGGUCAGCUAAUUGCUACUAUUUGUUGUUGAGGUGCUAACAAUACAUGAUUCAUCUGUGAACAUUUCACACCACUAACAACAGUGCCACUUACAGCAAAGAGUACUAGCAUUAAGGAAGCAUGUUUUCAUUAAUUUUAUUAAUUAAAAUGUAAAUAUUAUCUGAUACUGGUGUACUAGUCUGGAAAAUAUCAUAUUCAAUUUGAUUCAUUCUGCCCAGCACUACACACUCAAAUGCACAUGUGCACAUCAAGGAUCAGUAUCUUUUUCCAUAUCCUAAAUCUUGUUUUGAAUAACACAGAAAUUACACUUCAACACAUCAUUCCUUAAGCGUGUGUGUGUAAUUACUGGUGGGCUUUGAAAAGUCUCUGUGGCUCUUUAUUCCCCUGUAAUCACACACACCCACAGUCCAAACCACCUGAGACUCCUCAACCCUCUCCCAGCUUCUGCUGGUGUUUAGACUUGUGUUUAGGCUCACUGAGGUCAGAGGUUAAUUGCUGUCAGACCUGGCGGUACGCACGCAGUGCUACUGCAGCAACAGUGUAAAAACUCCAUGUAGGCUUACAGACUCUACAAUUGUGGCUGCACAAUAUAAUGCUUACUAAUCAUUGAAAUAUUAGCUUUUGCAAUAAUACAUCCUGACUAGGGCUUGAACAAUAUAUUGGUUUCCCGAUAAUAUCUGCUGAUGUUGAGGCCCCACAGACAGGGGUAGACAGAUUUGCACUGGCCACUUGAGCCACAAAGUCAAUGAAACUUGUGUUGUGUCAAAAUGAAGAACUUGUGACCAGAAUAAUGGAAACACAGAGAAAAAAGGAAUGAAUUUUUAAAAAAGACCUCACAUUUAAUUGCCUAUUUACUAUAAUAUGAACCUACAUACCAAACUGGUUAUUGGCUACCAGAGACUUACCUUUUGCAGUACUAGGAGUGUAGAUGACUGGGGUAAAUAGUUCCAGACUGCAAUUUUCUCAAUGCUUUUUCAACCUUGUUUUCUUUUCCAUUGUCAAGUUUGCUGUUUAUCUAGCUCACUAUAGCUUUUCUGGAGUGUAUGCUAGGGACUGGAAUAGCUCAGUGAAGUUUCUGCAAUCUACAGAAACUGUUUAGCAGUGAUGCAGCGUUUACAUGUUUGUGCUUAAAAGAAGCGUCAUCAUUUUGUGCCUUAUUGCAUAGUCGGUUUAAAACUGCAAAGUUAUGUAGUUGAUGGUAGCAUGCAGCUUUGCAAAUAUUGCCAUGGUCAUAGGGGUUGCCAAAGGAGAGAUUUGAUGCUCACUUUUAUUUGUUUAACAUGGGGAAACAAAGGGACAACGUUGCAAGAACUCAGCUCCUUUGGCUUCGUCUUGUAUUAUAAGACAAUUUUUAUUGGCAUUGGAAGAUUUUUUUGGAUGUCCUUUUGAGCAGUCACAUAACUGGGGGCAGUGCCUGCCUUAGCUAUGUUCCUGCAGCAGUUGGCAAAAAAUAGACUUGAAGUUUUAAAUUGCACAUCAUGCUCACAUUGCUGCUGCUUCUUGCAUUGUAAAAGGUUACAGAGAUUGGCACAGAACUGUACUGCAGGCCUCAGUGGUGCGCUGCAGAAACAAUAUGGUUUCUUCCUUCUAGUUUAAAAUGCACUUUACUUAGCUGUGUUCUUACUAAUCAAGAUUAAAAUAAAAGGUAGGAAAAUGCAUGGUUGUGGAGUCAUAAGCGUCAUAUCCAAAAAAGGAUUUUUUUUUGUAUAUUGCUGUACAGUAGAAUGUUUGUAGCUAAUGUCUAUGAGGACAGUUGUCUCACAGAGAUGUUCUUUUACAUGUACAAAACACCCCCAAACCUUAAUGCCUGGUGCCACUUGCUGGCUACUUAGGUCUGACAGGCAGUGUACCUGGACCUGUGCUUGUCCAAUAAACAUCUGUUAUUACAUUCUAUAUUGCAGAGUAGGAAUGCAGUACACUUGCCAGUGUGGUAAGACAUUUUCUUAAUUUCUGUAAAAUUUGUGCUCUCUUCAGAGUCCCAUCGUUUCAUUCGGUCACAUCAUAACCUGUCAAAAAACAAUCGUAUAGUUUUACUUAAGGUUGCAGAGAAAAAUUUGUGUAAAUACUGAUAAGAAAUUAACCAUUGCUGAACUGUCGUUUUAAAUAUGAAGAGUGGCUGUUAAAGGGUUAAAAUUUGCCAAAACUGCUCUCAUCAUUUUGAAGUAAAUGUAUGUGUUUGCAACCCCUUUUGC